ACGGAAGGCAGCAGUGGGGGAUAUUGCACAAUGGGGGAAACCCUGAUGCAGCGACGCCGCGUGAGUGAAGAAGUAUUUCGGUAUGUAAAGCUCUAUCAGCAGGAAAGAUAAUGACGGUACCUGACUAAGAAGCACCGGCUAAAUACGUGCCAGCAGCCGCGGUAAUACGGAGGAUGCGAGCGUUAUCCGGAUUUAUUGGGUUUAAAGGGAGCGUAGGCUGGAUGUUAAGUCAGCGGUCAAAAGGAGCGGCUCAACCGUUCUUCGCCGUUGAUACUGGUAUCCUUGAGUGCGCAAGAGGUGGAUGGAAUUUAGGGUGUAGCGGUGAAAUGCUUAGAUAUCCUAAAGAACUCCGAUUGCGAAGGCAGUCCACUGGGGCGCAACUGACGCUGAAGCUCGAAAGUGCGGGUAUCAAACAGGAUUAGAUACCCUGGUA
RNAcentral lists this ribosomal RNA (433 nucleotides) under uncultured Pseudobutyrivibrio sp. RNAcentral describes it as "partial 16S ribosomal RNA". It matches the Rfam family "Bacterial small subunit ribosomal RNA", at positions 341 to 792 of the family's 1533-position model. The record is from RNAcentral. Lineage: Bacteria; Bacillati; Bacillota; Clostridia; Lachnospirales; Lachnospiraceae.